Molecule: unclassified non-coding RNA, 249 nt
Filed under: Diaporthe caulivora
Lineage: Eukaryota; Fungi; Ascomycota; Sordariomycetes; Diaporthales; Diaporthaceae
Also listed under: 1 other name
Description: partial internal transcribed spacer region
Rfam family: Eukaryotic small subunit ribosomal RNA (bases 1-46)
Source: RNAcentral
AAGUCGUAACAAGGUCUCCGUUGGUGAACCAGCGGAGGGAUCAUUGCUGGAACGCGCCCCAGGCGCACCCAGAAACCCUUUGUGAACUUAUACCUUACUGUUGCCUCGGCGCAGGCCGGCCCCCUUGGGGGCCCCCCGGAGACGGGGAGCAGCCCGCCGGCGGCCAAGCUAACUCUUGUUUUUACACUGAAACUCUGAGAAAUAAACAUAAAUGAAUCAAAACUUUCAACAACGGAUCUCUUGGUUCUG